UACGUAGGUGGCAAGCGUUGUCCGGAAUUAUUGGGCGUAAAGCGCGCGCAGGUGGUUUCUUAAGUCUGAUGUGAAAGCCCACGGCUCAACCGUGGAGGGUCAUUGGAAACUGGGGAACUUGAGUGCAGAAGAGGAAAGUGGAAUUCCAAGUGUAGCGGUGAAAUGCGUAGAGAAUUUGGAGGAACACCAGUGGCGAAGGCGACUUUCUGGUCUGUAACUGACACUGAGGCGCGAAAGCGUGGGAGCGAACGAGG
This 254-nucleotide ribosomal RNA is filed under the name uncultured bacterium. RNAcentral's name for it is "partial 16S ribosomal RNA". It matches the Rfam family "Bacterial small subunit ribosomal RNA", at positions 524 to 777 of the family's 1533-position model. The record is from RNAcentral.